GACGAACGCUGGCGGCGCGCUUAACACAUGCAAGUCGAACGGAAAGGCCUGCUUUCCCUUGUGGAUUGCGGGUACUCGAGUGGCGAACGGGUGAGUAACACGUGAGUGAUCUGCCCCCAACUUGGGUAUAAGCCUGGGAAACUGGGUCUAAUUCCCGAUAGGACUGCAGGGUGGUGCCUGUGGUGGAAAACGAUUUUCUGGUGGUUGGGGAUGAGCUCGCGGCCUAUCAGCUUGUUGGUGGGGGAAUGGCCUACCAAGGCGGCGACGGGUAGCCGGCCUGAGAGGGUGGACGGCCACAUUGGGACAGAGAUACGGCCCAGACUCCUACGGGAGGCAGCAGUGGGGAAUAAUGGACAAUGGGCGGAAGCCUGAUGCAGCGACGCCGCGGGGGGGAUGACGGGCUUCGGGUUGUAAACUCCUUUCGACCGCGAGGAAGCCACCUGGUUGGAAGAGUGGUGACGGUAGUGGUAGAAGAAGCACCGGCUAACUACGUG
This 494-nucleotide ribosomal RNA is filed under the name uncultured bacterium. Its description in RNAcentral is "partial 16S ribosomal RNA". It matches the Rfam family "Bacterial small subunit ribosomal RNA", at positions 28 to 507 of the family's 1533-position model. The record is from RNAcentral.